GGGGAAGUAAAGGUUGACAAAAUUGAUUUUAAGAAGACAGCCACUACUCGCUCAUCACAUUGAUCCAUGUUCUAAUGAUCUCUGUACUUCUUGUAGUUCCCUAGAAUUUGUUUAGUUGAGGGGUCUUAUGUGACUAUAGAAGCCUUGUUAUCCUGUUUCUAAAUCUAAACACGAUACAUAUGGAGAUGAAUAAAUGUGUUUUUAUUGAUGAAAAAAA
RNAcentral lists this unclassified non-coding RNA (217 nucleotides) under Hevea brasiliensis (rubber tree). Lineage: Eukaryota; Viridiplantae; Streptophyta; Magnoliopsida; Malpighiales; Euphorbiaceae. The record is from RNAcentral.